GAUGAACGCUGGCGGCGUGCCUAAUACAUGCAAGUCGAACGAGUUCUCGUUGAUGAUCGGUGCUUGCACCGAGAUUCAACAUGGAACGAGUGGCGGACGGGUGAGUAACACGUGGGUAACCUGCCCUUAAGUGGGGGAUAACAUUUGGAAAUAGAUGCUAAUACCGCAUAGAUCCAAGAACCGCAUGGUUCUUGGCUGAAAGAUGGCGUAAGCUAUCGCUUUUGGAUGGACCCGCGGCGUAUUAGCUAGUUGGUGAGGUAAUGGCUCACCAAGGCGAUGAUACGUAGCCGAACUGAGAGGUUGAUCGGCCAUAUUGGGACUGAGACACGGCCCAAACUCCUACGGGAGGCAGCAGUAGGGAAUCUUCCACAAUGGACGCAAGUCUGAUGGAGCAACGCCGCGUGAGUGAAGAAGGCUUUCGGGUCGUAAAACUCUGUUGUUGGAGAAGAAUGGCCGGCAGAGUAACUGUUGUCGGCGUGACGGUAUCCAACCAGAAAGCCACGGCUAACUACGUGCCAGCAGCCGCGGUAAUACGUAGGUGGCAAGCGUUAUCCGGAUUUAUUGGGCGUAAAGCGAGCGCAGGCGGUUUUUUAAGUCUGAUGUGAAAGCCCUCGGCUUAACCGAGGAAGCGCAUCGGAAACCUGGGAAACUUGAGUGCAGAAGAGGACAGUGGAACUCCAUGUGUAGCGGUGAAAUGCGUAGAUAUAUGGAAGAACACCAGUGGCGAAGGCGGCUGUCUGGUCUGUAACUGACGCUGAGGCUCGAAAGCAUGGGUAGCGAACAGGAUUAGAUACCCUGGUAGUCCAUGCCGUAAACGAUGAAUGCUAGGUGUUGGAGGGUUUCCGCCCUUCAGUGCCGCAGCUAACGCAUUAAGCAUUCCGCCUGGGGAGUACGACCGCAAGGUUGAAACUCAAAGGAAUUGACGGGGGCCCGCACAAGCGGUGGAGCAUGUGGUUUAAUUCGAAGCAACGCGAAGAACCUUACCAGGUCUUGACAUCUUUUGAUCACCUGAGAGAUCAGGUUUCCCCUUCGAGGGCAAAAUGACAGGUGGUGCAUGGUUGUCGUCAGCUCGUGUCGUGAGAUGUUGGGUUAAGUCCCGCAACGAGCGCAACCCUUAUGACCAGUUGCCAGCAUUUAGUUGGGCACUCUAGUAAGACUGCCGGUGACAAACCGGAGGAAGGUGGGGAUGACGUCAAAUCAUCAUGCCCCUUAUGAUCUGGGCUACACACGUGCUACAAUGGAUGGUACAACGAGUUGCGAGACCGCGAGGUCAAGCUAAUCUCUUAAAGCCAUUCUCAGUUCGGACUGUAGGCUGCAACUCGCCUACACGAAGUCGGAAUCGCUAGUAAUCGCGGAUCAGCACGCCGCGGUGAAUACGUUCCCGGGCCUUGUACACACCGCCCGUCACACCAUGAGAGUUUGUAACACCCGAAGCCGGUGGCGUAACCCUUUUAGGGAGCGAGCCGUCUAAGGUGGGACAAAUGAUUAGGGUGAAG
RNAcentral lists this ribosomal RNA (1496 nucleotides) under Lacticaseibacillus paracasei subsp. paracasei. RNAcentral's name for it is "bacterial SSU rRNA". It matches the Rfam family "Bacterial small subunit ribosomal RNA". Lineage: Bacteria; Bacillati; Bacillota; Bacilli; Lactobacillales; Lactobacillaceae. The record is from RNAcentral.